Molecule: long non-coding RNA, 1285 nt
Filed under: Pogona vitticeps (central bearded dragon)
Lineage: Eukaryota; Metazoa; Chordata; Lepidosauria; Squamata; Agamidae
Description: lncRNA (ENSPVIG00000002072.1)
Source: RNAcentral
AUGGAAAGUUUUCAAGAACUAAAGGCAGUAGAAAUAAAUCCUGGGGCGGAGUGUUCGAUAGACAGAGUGAAAAAUCAUUCGAGAUAUUUACAAACGUGGAGCCGAGGGAAAAGAUUUCCCUAUAUAUGGCUUUUGUGCAGAAAGAGACAGAAACUCACUUCAUACCUAAACCUUUUUUUCUGGCACUUCUUGAUAGCUAAGCCAUUAAGGCUACAUGAGGAUCUGCAUUCUCUGACACAUGACAGAGUUACUGUUUUGUAUUUGUUUUGUUGUGGGAGCCUUUAAAUAUCAGUGUUCCAGAAUUCUGCUGCUCCAUUCUGCAGUUGGCUUGUUGUGUGACACUGUAUAGUAUGUUGUAGCACAGGCCUUUAAUUUCUUUUUCUCUUUUAUCUUUCAUGUUGAGAAGGUCUUUCCUGAGCCAAUCCUCUGCCAUUCUUUCCCUUCCCUGUUUGUUCUGUGUUUGCAUUCUAUUACUUUUUCUUUACUGUAGAUUUUUACAUUCAUACUAUUAUUCUGUUUUUCAGCAGGGAUUUCCCUGUUUUUUUUAAAAAAAUCCUUUUUCAGCAAUGGAAAUUCCGUUACAACAAAUGUAAUUGUUACAUCUCUUUUUUUCAGUUACUGUUUUCUUGACAGCUUUGUUGACUAAAGAGAUUGAGAUCACAAUGUUCUCAUACAUUUUUCUACUACUUUAUAUUUAAAGUCUCUCAGGAUCGAUCCAUAUGUAGGCACAUAGAAUUAGACUUCCCUGUCUCCAUGGCAUCCAUUUAAACACCUGGAAUUGUUUUACCAAGGGCCAUUGUUACUUGGUGAAUGGGAUAAGUUGUAAUAGGAAGGAGUCCUUGAAAACUGAGUGGAACAACUUUUGUGAAUGAAGCUUUUUUUUUUCUUUUGCUCACGGAAGCCAGAUUCUUAAUCCAAUCUAUUGUUUUUUAGUCAUGUGUAACUGGACAUUUUUUAAGUUUUUCGCAUAUUACUUUAAGCAUUGGAAGUGUUAAUGGUUUUAUUUAGAGCUUUGGUAUUUUUUGUUUUUAAGCCUCACCAUAGUUUUUAGUGGUGUAUAACAGGGGUUCGGAACCCCCGGUCCGUGGCCUGGUGAUGGUUCGUGCCCAUGGCAGGACCGGGCUGCAGAGACAGAUCUCCCACCGGCACGAACCCCACCAGCACGCACGGGUGCCCCACACAUGCACGCAAGCACGCCCUGUGGCACGAACCCCACCGGCAUGCACGGAUGCCCCACACAUGCACGCAAGCACGCCCUGCCCUGCCCACCCAUGAGCACGGGGGU